Vollenhovia emeryi is the source of this 902-nucleotide RNA transcript. RefSeq lists it as uncharacterized. The record is from RefSeq and is a predicted model, not a curated record. The transcript is spliced from 3 exons. Lineage: Eukaryota; Metazoa; Arthropoda; Insecta; Hymenoptera; Formicidae.
ACUUUCAGAUCUGUGCUGAAAUAGAGCUAUUCUUCUAGAUCUAUCCAAUCAGCAUAAAGCGCUUAUUCUUAGCUAACUUCGGCAGAACACAGCCAAUGGCUGUAGAAAAGAAAAGUUCGCGAAUCCCUAGUUUUCUUUCCCGCAGCCAAUCAACGCGCUCAAGAGAUUUGUCGCACGACAGGUGUACCGGUUUCCUUACUAGGUGUAUAAGUGCAUCAAUGGCCGAGCAAUCGACAAGUGUCCUAUGCACGGUCGGCAAAACGUCGCAAGGCCGGCUCUCCUAACCUCUUCGAAGACUCGCUUCGCCGUAUGCGCGGGGCAGCCUCGUGAACCGCGGUCCAAGAUCGAGACAUGACGAACGUGCACACGGUGAACAGUAUGAUCAGCAACAGGAACCGCGAUUGUCUCGAGUGCAGACUGUUGAGCGGUGGCGGCCUCGUCGCCGCAGGUUUGUACGUCUGCCAUCACUCGAAACAGUACCAGAAGCAAGCAGGGAAGGCAGCGAUGUACUCGGUCGCCUCUGUACUCGUUCUCCUCGGCACAGCCAGGAUCUUCGACCUGCCGCCCUUUCAAGACAAAUUUAAGCGCAGCUGAGGAACAGCGCGCUUAGACCCCAAGUGUAAAUCCAUGGCGCGUUGCACGUAAUAAUUGCACAUAAGAAACAACGUUAAAAAUUGGAGGAGAAAUCUUUCCGGCCGCGCAAAGUAAUAGGCUUCAUUUGCUGACGCUCUGACGCCGCUAUUUUAUUUAAAAAAAAAUUGGAAAAAAAUUGUGAGUACAUUUCAAAAUAUGUACAAUAAGGCCUUAAUACAGAUUUUAUAUUCCAUUCAUUAUAGUCUCAUAAAACCUUCGACGAUAAAAUCCCGUGUGGAAAUCUCCCCAUCUUAUCCCCACUUAUUAUU